This 287-nucleotide ribosomal RNA is filed under the name uncultured Ralstonia sp. Its description in RNAcentral is "partial 16S ribosomal RNA". It matches the Rfam family "Bacterial small subunit ribosomal RNA", at positions 71 to 358 of the family's 1533-position model. Lineage: Bacteria; Pseudomonadati; Pseudomonadota; Betaproteobacteria; Burkholderiales; Burkholderiaceae. The record is from RNAcentral.
GGGGGUAGCUUGCUACCUGCCGGCGAGUGGCGAACGGGUGAGUAAUACAUCGGAACGUGCCCUGUAGUGGGGGAUAACUAGUCGAAAGACUAGCUAAUACCGCAUACGACCUGAGGGUGAAAGUGGGGGACCGCAAGGCCUCAUGCUAUAGGAGCGGCCGAUGUCUGAUUAGCUAGUUGGUGGGGUAAAGGCCCACCAAGGCGACGAUCAGUAGCUGGUCUGAGAGGACGAUCAGCCACACUGGGACUGAGACACGGCCCAGACUCCUACGGGAGGCAGCAGUGGGA